This 587-nucleotide ribosomal RNA is filed under the name uncultured Alphaproteobacteria bacterium. Its description in RNAcentral is "bacterial SSU rRNA". It matches the Rfam family "Bacterial small subunit ribosomal RNA", at positions 28 to 644 of the family's 1533-position model. Lineage: Bacteria; Pseudomonadati; Pseudomonadota; Alphaproteobacteria. The record is from RNAcentral.
AACGAACGCUUGGCGGCAGGCCUACACGUUUAAAGUCGAACGCUCUCUUCGCAGGGAGUCGUAGCACGGGUGAGUAACGCGUGGGAACCUAGCUCUUGGUACGGAACAACCGCGGGAAACUGCGGCUAAUACCGUAUACACCCUCCGGGGGAAAGAUUUAUCGCCGAGAGAUGGGCCCGCGUCUGAUUAGCUUGUUGGUGAGUGUAACGGCUCACCAAGGCAUCGAUCAGUAGCUGGUCUGAGAGGAUGAUCAGCCACACUGGGACUGAGACACGGCCCAGACUCCUACGGGAGGCAGCAGUGGGGAAUAUUGGACAAUGGGCGCAAGCCUGAUCCAGCCAUGCCGCGUGAGUGAAGAAGGCCCUAGGUUGUAAAGCUCUUUCAACGGUGACGAUGAUGACGGUAGCCGUUAGAAGAAGCCCCGGCUAACUCCGUGCCAGCAGCGCGGUAAUACGGAGGGGGCAAGCGUUGUUCGGAAUUACUGGAGCGUAAAAGGGCGCGUAAAGACGAGUCUGUUGCGUCACGCGUUGUGAAAAGCCCCUGUGCUCAACCCGGGAGGUGCACACUUUGAUACCGGGGCAGACUUG